UCAUUAUUAUUAUUACUAUUAUUAUUAUUAUUAUUAUUAUAUCAUUUCUACAAACGAAAAGAAACAAAUCGAAUUAACGAGAUAAUUCGAUAGAACAGAAAUAUUCCAGAUGAAAUUUCGUAAAAGCGCGUCCAGGUCCAGUCCAAAAAUGGAAUUAUUGUCGAGACGAUCUACAACGAACGACGGCAAGAUGUCGACGUUAAAAAGAUCAAGAUCAUUUCGUGCUUCGGUUAAAUUAAUAUCGAAGAUUCGAAAUCGUGCGGCAUUCAAGUUUAACUCGGGUAUCGAACUUUCGCCAAUGUCUUCGAAAGAUUAUUGUAAAACGACGCGAUCGUUUUCCUCGAAGGAUACCAAUAAGAUAGAACAACAACAGCAACAAGAAUCGCCAAGGAUUAAUUUGAAAAAUAACGAAAAGAAAGAGAAGUCGAUUUGUAAUAAAAAAGGUACGAAAAAGUACGAAGACAUUUGUCAGGACGAUAAUCGAACGUUGUCAGAAACUAAUUCGUCGAUCGGAGUAGUAGAAUCUUGCGGUAUUACGAAGGAUUUUGAGAAAAAGCUUUCUCUCGGGGAUAAGAUAAACGUGAAAAAUCGAAAAUGUCUAGAAAAAUCUUGCGAGAGGAGAAGAAUCGAGGAAGAAACGAAGUCGCCAAAGGUCGUACGUAUUUUUUGUCGAAAAAUAAUAGCCGAUGAUAGAACAAAAAAGAGUAACGAUCAAAAAUCUAAGGUUAAGGGAAAGAUGGAAAGUGACGAAUGCGGUUACGAAAAUCCGAUGUUCUCUUUGGACAGUUCCCUUGAUUCGAGCUUUGCUUCUGUCGAAACGAAUUUUAAAAACGAGGAACAUGUAACACGUGGAAAAUGUUUCGAACGUGUAAUCGAAAAAACUAAUCUCCAGAAGGAGGAAGAGGAACAGCAGCAGCAGCAGCAAAGAUUCUCUAUGUCGUUACUUUCUUGCAAAUCUGAUCUCAAGUAUGUUAGGAGUUUCAGUAUGAAAGAGGAAAGAAGUUUCGAUAGAGAUAAAAGUCCCGGAGAUAAAAGAAACGAACGCCCAAGGACGAAUUUUUAUUCCGAAAGCGAAAUUAAUAGUUCACCGAGAUUGAGGGAUAAAUAUCUUAGUGAAUUUGUAUCGUCCGUUGAUAGUAGCACGGAAAGUGUUUGCUCGACUAAAUCAUGCAAAAAUCGGACUGUCGAUAAUUUGACUAAUUUUUGGACUAAUGCUCGUGGUGGAAGCUUUCGUAGCAAGAUGUCCGCCAGUAAAAAGAAACUUGGAAAGGAAUCAAAGGAUCUAGAAUCGAUCGGGCAGGAUCGAGUUCUCGUCACGACCACUUCUGGAUCAAAACUGCAAUCGCUACAAGGGAUGGAGUUCCUGGAAGGGUUUGGAAAAAAGAAGCAACAACCACAGCAACAACAUUCAAAUAAUCUAUCGUCGAUUCACAUUAAUCCUCUCUCGGCACAAUCCCUCAACAUACAUUUGCAUGCUCUUUUCGCAGCCGUCGAACAUGGUCAUUUGGACAAAGCCAGAACUAUUUUGGAAUCGACCGAUGUGGACGUGAACAGUGUUAACAGCGACGGUUUAUCACCAUUGGACGUCGCAGUACUCAGUAAUAACAGACCGUUGGCAAAAAUGUUGGUCACAUUCGGUGCUCAGGAAGGCAACCAAUUCAAGUCACCGGAGUCCUUGGGCAGUCAUUUGGCGUCGUUGCUGUUGGAAGCAGAACACAGAGUCCAAGAACUCGGUGGCAGCACUUCCGGCAGCGGUGGGAGCACUCUUUUGGAACCACCAAGCAGCCACAGAGCCAGUUUCUCGACGCAGCAUAAUAAUCUUACAGGAUGCGGAGGUAGCACUGAGGACAAGCAACUGGCCCUCUGGGAGAGGAGAGCUCGAGCACUCAGAAAAAUGUUACUAGGUUUUGAUCAAGCAAGACCACCUGACAUGCCAUUCAUGGUCGCAAUCGAUGUUACCGGAACGACCUCCGUGACAGUCAGAUUUCAAGAACCAGAUUCACAUGAUUCUCCAAUUUGUACGAAAUUCAAGGUUCAAUGGAGUCUCAAAGAGGAUUUUUCUACGAUAUGUGGGGAUAGAGAGGUUUUGGAUAUGAAGCAAAGAGAAUGUCGUAUCGAUGGACUCGUUCAAGGACAAAAAUAUUAUUUUCGCGCGGCUGCUGGAAAUUUAAAAGGCUAUAGCAGAUUUAGAAAUUCGACUCCUGCUCAUGUAACUCCUAGUAGUUGGAGAGACAUUGAUGGCAGGGUACCAAGAUUUGCAGGACGUUUAGAACAAUUGAACACCCUCUUUAGCGACAUCAGACGUCCGGAAUACACACACGAGACACCAGCAGUACAAAGACGCAAUCAUAAGAAGAAAACGACGAUAAAACAACUCUUCACCGCGACUAGCAAGUUUCAAAAAAAUUUGCGGCGUGGCGUAUUCCUUGCUUGUUUGCUUUAUCAUGAGGAUAAGGUGCUCGUAACCAAUGAAGACUUUUUACCUGUAAUCGAGGUCGAUGAAACCUAUCCUAGUUCUAUCUAUAACGAUUUUCACUGGCUCAUGAAAGUCGCGUGCACGUGGGACGACGUCAAGACUCUACGUCAAGAUAUGGAAAAAAGUCACAGCAGUUCGACCAAUCACUUUAGGAUAAAAUUGCUCCAGGCUGCUGCACAAAUGCAGGCCGCAUUGUGUACGCAAGAUCUUGGACAGUUAUAUCAUAAACCGAUCAGAGACAUUCAAGGAACCCUUGUAUUUUCGACAGUGAAUUAUGUAAAAUCACCAAAACUCGUGUCAGUCUUAAAUAGUAGGUGGCUUCCUUUGAGUAAAGUAACUAAAAAAAUAAUAACUCAUGAAGACAGCAACGUGGCAGAUAUUUUGAUGGCCAGUAUACAAGAACAAAUGACAUAUCACCAAGUCAGUAGUAUCAAAUUAUCAAAGGGCUUAUAUCUUGGUUAUUUGAAAAUGCAAAGUAGUGUGGAUCUUAUACAAGUGGUUGUACCGGCUAAAUCACCUAACGUCUUACCACAUUGUAAAAUACGUGACAACUCUCAUGUAUCUGCGGAAGAAUGGGAUUAUCUGAAAAGGAUAACUCGUAUUUAUGCGUCCGAUAAUUCUGUCAAAGAUUCAGAGGAGAAAGAAAAUGUAACAAAUGAAUGUCAGGGUACAGAACAGCAAAAAUUAUUCGUCGAUUUGGUUUCCGCAACGGCACGUCGUCUCUUUAAUUAUAUGGAAAUAAGUCCAGAGGAUUCUUUAUUAUAUCGACUUUACGAUGCCGAAGUAAUCGAUCUCACGCACGAUGUAUCAUUCCUAAUUGCCGUACCUCCUGCAGAAACAGCUUGUUGCGUACCUGGAACUAGAGAAAUUCUCUUACAAAGAGGAGACUUACUAUCUUUACCUAUUCAAGUAUUCGAAAUGGUUCACUUAAAUACAUACCAAAAGGAUGUAAUUAAUCGAUAUUCAAGACUAAGCUGUAUAUUGGAAUUAGACACCGCACAAGCUCAGCAUAAUCAUAGGGAAGCUUUUAGCUCUUUAGAACUAAGUGUAGCAAAAGAUAAACUUGCGCGAUUACAAGAUAUACAGACUCAAGUAAACACAGUAUGGAAGGGUGCUAGAUGGCUUAUCGACGUCAUCACUUUUGCAAGAGACCGUGGAUCCGGACAACAAAGCGGUACAUCACAGACUGUUGGUAUAUCUAUGAAACAUCUAUUAGGUUUAGACAGAAAUAAAAGCAACAGCAAUAGUUUAAAAAGAAGUCUUCUUCAGUUGCCACCUCGAGAUCCUAAACUCGUGAAAUCAAGUCCAGGACGUGGAAGUUGGCCAGGUCCAAAUGUUACGAAUUCUUCUUCCAAUUUACUUACAACGGAAUUCAGCAAAAGUGAACAACAAUUACCUAGUGGUCAAUACGUGUGCAAGUGUAGUCACGUUUCAACUAAGUCAGAACCUCAAAUAUCAUCCGUACCUACAAAUGUACGACUUCCACCUUCGAAAUCAGAGGACACUUUAUUACUUACCAAAUACAAACAUAGUCCUAGAAAUCGUUCGGCCACCAUCACUUCUGCGUCGGCAAGUACCAGUCCAUUACUUAAUAUAAAACCGAUUCUCUAUGGUGGAUCGCUUUUAAGCGUAUCAACAGCUAUGACCAACACCAACACGAGUCUUCUCAGUGUUAGUAACACGAAUUCCGACAGUCUUCAUUCCCUAAGCAGCGAUGAAUAUUCAACGCCAAAUUCAAGUGUAUGCUUAAAACCAGGACAUAUAAAAGUCAAAACGACUAAAUCCAACACUAGUAUAACAACUAUGGCUGCUUCAGUAGGAGAUAAUCAAUCGGAAGAAGAAAAGGAUGAAGCAACAAUGAUGCCAGCACCACUACCUGGUAUUCUUCAGGGGACGCAAGUCUAACCCGAUUAUAGUUAAAAACAGCUCACUUGGUCUUCUAGUGCAAACCAAUGUAGCAGAUACAUAAGUUUAUGCGGCCUAUGAAACUGGUUUGGCUUCUGGUACCAGUUUAAAAUUACAUGUAAAUCCACGAACCACAGCAAGAGAAGUUGUGGA
RNAcentral lists this unclassified non-coding RNA (4534 nucleotides) under Polistes fuscatus (common paper wasp). RNAcentral's name for it is "uncharacterized LOC122524904, transcript variant X1". The record is from RNAcentral. Lineage: Eukaryota; Metazoa; Arthropoda; Insecta; Hymenoptera; Vespidae.